UUUUUUUUUUUUUUUAAGGGCUGCACCUGUGGCAUAAGGAAGUUGCCAGGCUAAGGGUCGAAUCGGAGCUGUAGCAGGUGGCCUAUGCCACUGUCACCACAAUGCCAGAUUCAAACCAUAUCUGUGACCUAAACCACAGCUUGCAGCAAUGCCAGAACCUUAACCCACUGAGUUAGGCCAGGGAUCCAACCCUCAUCCUAAUGGAUACUAGUUGGUUUCAUUACUGCUGAGCCACAAUAGGAAGGAUCUCUCUACUUGGAUCUCUCUACUUCUUUUAAUUGCAGACAUGUGAUAGCCCAAGUCUAUUCUUGCAUUUGCCUUUUUUUAGUAUUUCAGAGCACAGCAUAAAUAGAGCAUAUUUGCAACGUGUAAAUAAAUUUCUAUGGGUGUGGCCAAAAACAAAAAAACGAAACAGAAAAUCCUUGCAAAUAGAGAGUUCAAACUGUUGAGAUACUAUGAGUACUGAGAACAUGCUUUCUUUUUCUUUUUCUUUUCCUUUUUUUUUUUUUUUUUCCAUUUUAGUGCCACACCCAGGGUGUAUGGAAGUUCCCAGGCUAGUGGUCUAAUCAGAGCUUCAGCUGCCAGCCUACACCACAGCCACAACAAUGUCAGAUCCUAGUCACAUCUGAGACCUACACCUCAGCUCAUGGCAACACCAGAUCCUUAACCCACUGAACAAGGCCAGGGAUAGAUCCCACAUCCUCAUGGAUAGUCGUCAGGCUAGUUACCACUGAACCACAACAGGAACUCCCAUUCUUUCCAUUUUAAAUAAAAGUUCAUUAUCUUAGAUUUCACUAAUUUUCAAAAUCAACUUGCAAACAAUUUGUAUAUUAAAAGGGAAAAUUAUGAUAUAUACAUAUAAACAUGCACACAUAUAUGCACACAUAAUCACAAUGUUUAACAUAUAUGCAGUAAGAUUUUAUUUUAAUGAUAUUUUAUGAUUAAGAACAACUUAAUGGCUAGAUCUCAAUAAUCAAUGUUCUGCUUUUCAAAUACGUGUUCCAACAUUUUUAAAAGGUGAAGAUAUAUUUCAACAUUUGAAAAGCAUUGAACAUCUGGGUGAAAAGUUCAUAUUUCUCUUUUGUUACCUGUCUAUAGAUAGAAUAUUUGUAUUUGGCUCUUUCACAAGAGCAAAAAUGAAUAACAAUGGAGAGUCAAAUGCAAUUGGCUUCCAUUUGUGUGUCUUUGUUAACUCUUUCUCUUAAGUUCCCUUUCCUCCCUCCAUCUAUUUGUCAGCACAGUGUUUGUAUUAUAUUUUCUCUCCAAGGUUAAAGCUAAGUAGUCAGACAAACAUUUUACAAGUGGGAUACAGUUUCACAACUUGUCAUGAAGUGUGAAUGUUUGAGGAAGAAAAUUUUAAAAAUUGGAGGCAGACCACUGAAUCACACUAAUGGCAGAGUAAGUGAAUUGCUUUGAGUUCCUCUCAAGCAGUCUUUGUCUCUAAAAUUCCAGAAAUGUAUGCUUUACUCUACCAUGAAAUAUGUGAGAUUAACUAGUUUCUUCUUUUACAUUUUAGUUCUUCUUAAGUGAGAUAAAAGUAUAACUCCACAAUGUAACACACAGAGACUUCAAUUAAGAUAAUAAAUAAACAAAAGGGAAAAAAAUCAAGAAAUUAUGACUAUAAAUAUACCCUAAUAAUAACUUCUUAAGUAACAUUGUAAAGCUGUAUAUGUGUUAUCUUAAAGAUUUUUCACUCUUUUUAAAAUAUGCUUUCUUGGAGGUCCCCUUAUGGUGCAGAGGAAAUGAAUCCGACCAGGAACCAUGAGGUUGCAGGUUUGAUCCCUGGCCACGCUCAGUGGGUUAAGGAUCUGGCAUUGCCAUGAGCUGUGGUGCAGGUUGCAGAUGUGGCUCGGUUCUGGUGUUGCUGUGGCUGUGAUGUAGGCUGGCAGUUACAGCUCCCAUUCCAUUGUAAAUGCACUUCCUUUUAUAAUUUUUGUUGUUUGUUUUAUUUUAUGUUUAACCCUUUGGGAAAUCUCUUUUUUUGCUGUGAAGGGUGACUCAAAUUCCAGUUUUUCCUUUUUAACAUUAUUUUUUCCCCUUCUACUGACUGUCUUCACAUAUUCUACCUUCCAUCCUGAAAAACAAUACAGCAACAGAUAAGAAAACUCAAUUUUUGCUCCUGAGGGAAUCUUUUUUUUUUUUUAAGGACUUCACCUACAGCAUAUGAGUUCCUAGGCUAUGGGUCAAAUCAGAGCUGCAGCUGCCGGCCUAUGCCACAGCCACAGCAGCACUGGAUCUGAACUGCAUCUGCAAACUAUGCAGCAGCUUGGCAGUAACACUAGGUCCUUAACCCACUGAGUGAGGCCAGGGAUCAAACCCAUAUCUUCAGGGAGACAAUGUCAGGUUCUUAACCUGCUGAGCCACGAUGGGAACUCCUGAGGGAAUCUUCUUUUGUCCCCUCUCCCCUUCGGUCUAAUGAGUUAUUAAAACUAUGAAAUACUUGGAGUUCCCUGGUGGCUCAGUGGGUUAGGAACCUGAUAUUGCCACUGCUAUGGUGUGGGUUUGAUCCCUAGCCUGGGUACUUCUGCAGGCUGUGGGCACAGCAAUACUUCUGUGAACACAGCUAUAUGAAUCUACAUAUUGAAAUGUUAUUCUAUUCAAUGUGCUAAGAAAAAUUCAUUUAAAAUGGUUAAUUGUCACAUUCAGAUAACACCCUUGUACACUAAAAAUAAAAGGAAUCAAGUUUUUUUUAAUCACUUGUAAUGGAAAAUAAAUCAAGUGGUCUCAAUAUUCUCAAAAGCAUAAUGAAAAAUCACAGUCCAAUUGAGUUACUCCUACUGUAUAGUUUGAGAAAGACCGUGUGAUCCAUGAACUUUAAAAGCAGUUCAAAUUUCCUCGAGUAUAUAGCCAAUUUAAAAUUAUUUUAAACAUGCAAGCAAGAACUCAUUUUGUGCUCACGAGGCUGUCUUGGGAAAUUACUAGAGGAUGAGCUUUAAGCAAACAAGAAAUAACUUGGGAAAUUACAGCUAAAGGACAAGAAGUGAUAAUUGAACAUAUUUAUACAAAGAGUAAAUAUAAAACAAAUAUGAGUUUUAGAGCAACAGAAAUAUUGCAAGUUAUAUGUCCUCUAAUCAUGUACAUAUGAUCAAAUUUUUAAAAAUUAACCAAGAAAUAACAAAGAAGAUGAGUAGUAGAGUGACUCCAUGGAUUAUUUCCUCCAUAAUAUUGAAAGUCAAAUAGUAUCAUUGGUUGGAAUACCAAGUACUGAAAGAAUAAGAAAGAGGAAAAAGUAAUGUGCAUGUGUGAGCAGUUCCUUGCCCUGGAUAGAUACACAAAAGUAUAAUUACAGUACCUAUGAUUUUAGGAGGAAUGGGACAAUUGUGAUUAAUAUAUAAUAAUUUGAAAAUCAUGUACCAACAUACUACUGAAUAGUUUAUUUUGUGUUUAUUAUAACCUAAAAUAUGUCUAUUUAUUACUAUGUAUAUCUUACACAUGUGUUUCUAUAACUAUAGGUACCAUACAUAUUAUUUAUAGUAAUGUAUAACAUAUACAAAUAAUACACCAAUUAUAACCAUUGUAUUACAGCAUGGGGCUUGUUUAUAGUUUAAGCUAUUAAUAUUUAUGCCUCCAAGACAUAUAUGUACAUGUCUUUUUUUUGCAUUUAUGUACAAAUUUGUAAAUACACAUAGGAGUGAAAUUACUGGGUCAAAGAACAUGAAUACAUUCAAACACAAAACAAAUUUUUCAAGUAGGGGGUGGAUUUUCAAAACAUUUUCAUAAUUGUUUUAGAACUGUGUUAAAUACUUAACUACACAAUUUUAUUCAGUUAUUUUUGUGAUAAUAUAUGUUAUAUAAUUAAAAUAGCAAACAUUUGUUAACUACUAACUGUAUGCUGGAUGCAGGCAGCUGCCAUAAAGCUGAAUAAAAUAGGGUGCCUCAAGGACAUCACAAAUUCAUUACAAUUAAUGGAAUUACAAUAAUGUAUUCAGGUUGCAUGUAUCACUGACAUGUUUCAGAUCUAACUAAAAUAGCUCUUCAUUGGAAGAUUUUAAAGAGCAGAUGGCUUGGUCUACUCAAACUAGGAAUAUCAGAAUGAAUAAAAACUAUAUUUUUAUUUUAUCCAGGAACCCACUUUGUACAGACCAGAUUGCAUCCUAAUUCUCCACUCAGAUUUAAAUUCUGGCAUCUCUACUCAAUCACAGGCUUCAAGAAAAUCAGCAUAAAAUAAAGAAAAGCUAAGCUAUUAACUGAGAGAUAGAUAUGGCUAGAUAAAGAGAUAGAUAAACCACAUGCAGAGCAAAUAAAAAGAAACAAAAAUAACUCUAUCCAAAAUACAAGACCAUAUGUUCUAUACCACUGUUUCUUCAUUGUAGUACGACUUAAUCUUGAUAACUAUUUAUUAAAGCCUUGAAAAUAAUUUAGGAACUUAAUUAGGCCCAUAAAAAUUUCUUUAGCUUAUAUUUUUUUUCAUAAGCUUCAAUUGGACACACAACCAGUUCCAAGAACUGCCAAAUACAUGCACGUGUUCAGACGAAAUUAUAUUACAUAGAGACUUGAAAUCUCACAUGCUGUCACCCCCGUAUGAGAGAGCUACAUUUCCUUUGGAUCUUUCAUCUAUAUAUAGCUGGGACUUGCAUAUUUCAGUUGAUUGUCAAAAAUGAAAUUCAUUGAAAUCACUUUUUCUUCACUUUCCUAGCCCAAGACUCUCUCCUGGCUUGUCUGCAUUACUGUGUUAAAGUCCUGAUUGAUCCGUUCUCGAUGGUCUCCUCCUCAGCUUCACUUCUUCAAUCUUCUCAUAUAUGCAUUCUGAAAUAUAGGUAUAAUCACACUUUAAGCUCUUAAAACACUUGAGUAAUUUCAACUUUG
RNAcentral lists this long non-coding RNA (4806 nucleotides) under Sus scrofa (pig). RNAcentral's name for it is "lncRNA (ENSSSCG00060067102.1)". Lineage: Eukaryota; Metazoa; Chordata; Mammalia; Artiodactyla; Suidae. The record is from RNAcentral.